UUUCUCCCAGCAUCACUUAUUAAUGCUAAUUAGUCAAGGGUGUGCCGUGAUGCAGAACACUUGUGACCUGUAAGGAUUAGAGAGACAGACUGUCGUUUCUCAAAUGACCCACGAGAGGCAGCCAGAGUCAGCGACGGGGAAGGAGCGGAGGGGAAGAGGAACUUCUCUGCAAAGAAUCUCACUAAAGUGGUGAGCCCUGUGCAUGAGCCUCUGCCUGACUCAUCUUUGUAUCUGCAAUGCCUCACACAUGCCUCACAUCUCUCCGCCAGGCAAGCAGUGUUAGCGAAAACAGGAUGUCAUCAUGUCAUCAGUUAAGUAAAGAAGAGGUUGACAACAAACUGUGAAUAGAAAAGUCAAAUAGGGAGGCAUUGGCCUUUAAAAAAAUUAUUUUCCAAAU
Chlorocebus sabaeus (green monkey) is the source of this 397-nucleotide non-coding RNA. Lineage: Eukaryota; Metazoa; Chordata; Mammalia; Primates; Cercopithecidae. The record is from RefSeq and is a predicted model, not a curated record.